RNAcentral lists this ribosomal RNA (497 nucleotides) under uncultured bacterium. RNAcentral describes it as "partial 16S ribosomal RNA". It matches the Rfam family "Bacterial small subunit ribosomal RNA", at positions 28 to 507 of the family's 1533-position model. The record is from RNAcentral.
GAUGAACGCUGGCGGCGUGCCUAAUACAUGCAAGUCGAGCGAACGGACGAGAAGCUUGCUUCUCUGAUGUUAGCGGCGGACGGGUGAGUAACACGUGGAUAACCUACCUAUAAGACUGGGAUAACUUCGGGAAACCGGAGCUAAUACCGGAUGAUAUUUUGACCCGCAUGGUUCAAAAGUGAAAGACGGUCUUGCUGUCCCUUAUAGAUGGAUCCGCGCUGCAUUAGCUAGUUGGUAAGGUAACGGCUUACCAAGGCAACGAUGCAUAGCCGACCGGAGAGGGGGAGCGGCCACACUGGAACUGAGACACGGUCCAGACUCCUACGGGAGGCAGCAGUAGGGAAUCUUCCGCAAUGGGCGAAAGCCUGACGGAGCAACGCGGCGUGAGUGAUGAAGGUCUUCGGAUCGUAAAACUCUGUUAUUAGGGAAGAACAUAUGUGUAAGUAACUGUGCACAUCUUGACGGUACCUAAUCAGAAAGCCACGGCUAACUACGUG